Molecule: ribosomal RNA, 539 nt
Filed under: uncultured bacterium
Lineage: Bacteria
Description: partial 16S ribosomal RNA
Source: RNAcentral
GGAGUUAGCCGGUGCUUCUUCUGUGAGUGAUGUCCUUCCUGCCGGCUAUUAACCCGCAGGCCUUCUUCCUCACUGAAAGUGCUUUACAACCCGAAGGCCUUCUUCACACACGCGGCAUGGCUGGAUCAGGGUUGCCCCCAUUGUCCAAUAUUCCCCACUGCUGCCUCCCGUAGGAGUCUGGGCCGUGUCUCAGUCCCAGUGUGGCUGAUCAUCCUCUCAGACCAGCUACGGAUCGUCGCCUUGGUGAGCCGUUACCUCACCAACCAGCUAAUCCGACAUAGGCUCAUCCGAUAGCGCGAGGCCCGAAGGUCCCCCGCUUUCCCCCGUAGGGCCGUAUGCGGUAUUAGCCUGGGUUUCCCCAGGUUAUCCCCCACUACCGGGCAGAUUCCUAUGCAUUACUCACCCGUCCGCCGCUCGCCACCAGGGAGCAAGCUCCCCGUGCUGCCGCUCGACUUGCAUGUGUUAGGCCUGCCGCCAGCGUUCAAUCUGAGCCAGNGACACAACUCGACACGUGCGGCGGUCGCGACGACGGCGACUAG